This 74-nucleotide transfer RNA is filed under the name Endomicrobium sp. RNAcentral describes it as "tRNA-Pro". It matches the Rfam family "tRNA". From Rfam's summary of the family: Transfer RNA (tRNA) molecules are approximately 80 nucleotides in length. Their secondary structure includes four short double-helical elements and three loops (D, anti-codon, and T loops). Lineage: Bacteria; Pseudomonadati; Elusimicrobiota; Endomicrobiia; Endomicrobiales; Endomicrobiaceae. The record is from RNAcentral.
CGGGGCGUGGCUCAGUUGGUUAGAGCACUCGGUUCGGGACCGUGGGGUCGCUGGUUCAAGUCCAGUCGCCCCGA